Molecule: transfer RNA, 70 nt
Filed under: Marmota monax (woodchuck)
Lineage: Eukaryota; Metazoa; Chordata; Mammalia; Rodentia; Sciuridae
Description: tRNA.Ala
Source: RNAcentral
GGGCUGGGGCUCAGGGGUAGAGUGCCUGCCUGGCAUGCGUGAGGCACUGGGUUCAAUCCUCAGCACCACA